UACGUAGGGUCCGAGCGUUGUCCGGAAUUAUUGGGCGUAAAGGGCUCGUAGGCGGUUUGUCGCGUCGGGAGUGAAAACACGGGGCUUAACCCCGUGCCUGCUUCCGAUACGGGCAGACUAGAGGUAUGCAGGGGAGAACGGAAUUCCUGGUGUAGCGGUGAAAUGCGCAGAUAUCAGGAGGAACACCGGUGGCGAAGGCGGGUCUCUGGGCCGUAACUGACGCUGAGGAGCGAAAGCAUGGGGAGCGAACAGG
This 253-nucleotide ribosomal RNA is filed under the name uncultured bacterium. RNAcentral describes it as "partial 16S ribosomal RNA". It matches the Rfam family "Bacterial small subunit ribosomal RNA", at positions 524 to 776 of the family's 1533-position model. The record is from RNAcentral.